This is a small nuclear RNA of 211 nucleotides. Its record names the gene U2. It matches the Rfam family "U2 spliceosomal RNA". From Rfam's summary of the family: U2 is a small nuclear RNA (snRNA) component of the spliceosome (involved in pre-mRNA splicing). The record is from Ensembl.
UUUUUUGUCUUAGACCUUUUGUCACAAUAACAAAUAUCUAAGAUCAUGUGUAGUAUCUGUUCUUAUCAGUUUAAUAUCUGAUACGUCCUCUAUCCAAGGACAAUAUAUUAAAUGGAUUUUUGGAGCUAGGAGUUGGAAUAGGAGCUUGCUCCGUCCACUCCACGCAUCGACCUGGUAUUGCAGUACCUCCAGGAAGUCCUGAGUUCAAUUC